This 253-nucleotide ribosomal RNA is filed under the name uncultured prokaryote. RNAcentral's name for it is "partial 16S ribosomal RNA". It matches the Rfam family "Bacterial small subunit ribosomal RNA", at positions 524 to 776 of the family's 1533-position model. The record is from RNAcentral.
UACGUAGGUGGCGAGCGUUGUCCGGAAUUACUGGGUGUAAAGGGUGAGUAGGCGGAAUGGCAAGUCAGAUGUGAAAUAUCGGGGCUUAACCCCGGGGCUGCAUUUGAAACUGCUGUUCUUGAGUGAUGGAGAGGCAGGCGGAAUUCCUAGUGUAGCGGUGAAAUGCGUAGAUAUUAGGAGGAACACCAGUGGCGAAGGCGGCCUGCUGGACAUUAACUGACGCUGAGGCGCGAAAGCGUGGGGAGCAAACAGG